This 502-nucleotide ribosomal RNA is filed under the name uncultured Sphingobacteriales bacterium. RNAcentral's name for it is "bacterial SSU rRNA". It matches the Rfam family "Bacterial small subunit ribosomal RNA", at positions 903 to 1382 of the family's 1533-position model. Lineage: Bacteria; Pseudomonadati; Bacteroidota; Sphingobacteriia; Sphingobacteriales. The record is from RNAcentral.
CGCCUUGCCAGCCCGCUCAGAACUCAACGGAAUUGACGGGGGCCCGCACAAGCGGUGGAGCAUGUGGUUUAAUUCGAUGAUACGCGAGGAACCUUACCUGGGCUCAAAUGUAUGUUGACGUAUUCUGAAAGGGAUACUUCUUCGGACAAUAUACAAGGUGCUGCAUGGUUGUCGUCAGCUCGUGCCGUGAGGUGUCGGGUUAAGUCCCAUAACGAGCGCAACCCCUAUCAUUAGUUGCCAUCAGGUCAAGCUGGGGACUCUAAUGAAACUGCCUACGCAAGUAGUGAGGAAGGUGGGGAUGACGUCAAAUCAGCACGGCCCUUACGGCCUGGGCUACACACGUGCUACAAUGGUCGGUACAAAGGGUUGCCAAGCCGCGAGGUGGAGCUAAUCCCAUAAAACCGAUCGUAGUCCGGAUCGCAGUCUGCAACUCGACUGCGUGAAGUCGGAAUCGCUAGUAAUCGUGAAUCAGAAUGUCACGGUGAAUACGUUCCCGGGCCUU